GGCCCUGUAGCUUAGCUGAAUAGAGCAUUAGAUUCCGGUUCUGAAGGUCGUGGGUUUGAAUCCCACCGGGGUCA
This 74-nucleotide transfer RNA is filed under the name Bacteroidaceae bacterium. RNAcentral's name for it is "tRNA-Arg". It matches the Rfam family "tRNA". Rfam says of the family: Transfer RNA (tRNA) molecules are approximately 80 nucleotides in length. Their secondary structure includes four short double-helical elements and three loops (D, anti-codon, and T loops). Further hydrogen bonds mediate the characteristic L-shaped molecular structure. tRNAs have two regions of fundamental functional importance: the anti-codon, which is responsible for specific mRNA codon recognition, and the 3' end, to which the tRNAs corresponding amino acid is attached (by aminoacyl-tRNA synthetases). tRNAs cope with the degeneracy of the genetic code in two manners: having more than one tRNA (with a specific anti-codon) for a particular amino acid; and 'wobble' base-pairing, i.e. permitting non-standard base-pairing at the 3rd anti-codon position. The record is from RNAcentral. Lineage: Bacteria; Pseudomonadati; Bacteroidota; Bacteroidia; Bacteroidales; Bacteroidaceae.